RNAcentral lists this ribosomal RNA (165 nucleotides) under uncultured bacterium. RNAcentral describes it as "partial 16S rRNA". It matches the Rfam family "Bacterial small subunit ribosomal RNA", at positions 355 to 511 of the family's 1533-position model. The record is from RNAcentral.
UAGGGAAUCUUCGGCAAUGGACGAAAGUCUGACCGAGCAACGCCGCGUGAGUGAAGAAGGUUUUCGAAUCGUAAAACUCUGUUGGUAGAGAAGAACGUUGGUGAGAGUGGAAAGCUCAUCAAGUGACGGUGACUACCCAGAAAGGGACGGCUAACUACGUGUCAG